Small nucleolar RNA from Arabidopsis thaliana (thale cress), 107 nucleotides. It matches the Rfam family "Plant small nucleolar RNA R71". Rfam says of the family: R71 is a member of the C/D box family of snoRNAs containing the C (UGAUGA) and D (CUGA) box motifs. Multiple nearly identical copies of this snoRNA have been identified in Arabidopsis, and it is thought to function as a 2'-O-ribose methylation guide for 18S ribosomal RNA. The record is from Rfam. Lineage: Eukaryota; Viridiplantae; Streptophyta; Magnoliopsida; Brassicales; Brassicaceae.
AAUCCGUUAUGAGGGCAUUUGGUUUGAUAACCCUUCAAGCGCUCUCAAGCUUCACAGAAGCUUUCAUUUUGCUUCUCAGUGAAUGCGGAUAUCUAAUUCCGGAGUCU